RNAcentral lists this ribosomal RNA (1406 nucleotides) under marine metagenome. Its description in RNAcentral is "bacterial LSU rRNA". It matches the Rfam family "Bacterial large subunit ribosomal RNA", at positions 1109 to 2502 of the family's 2925-position model. The record is from RNAcentral.
GAAGCAGCCAUCCUUUAAAGAAAGCGUAAUAGCUCACUAGUCGAGUCGGCCUGCGUGGAAGAUAUAACGGGGCUAAAUCAUAAACCGAAGCUACAGAUCUUAAAUUUAUUUAAGAUGGUAGAAGAGCGUUCUGUAAGCGGUUGAAGGUAAGCUGAAAGGCGAGCUGGACGUAUCAGAAGUGCGAAUGUUGACAUGAGUAACGAUCAAAGAGGUGAAAAACCUCUUCGCCGAAAAACCAAGGGUUCCUGUCCAACGCUAAUCGAGGCAGGGUGAGGCGGCCCCUAAGGCGAGGGCGAAAGCCGUAGUCGAUGGGAAACAGGUUAAUAUUCCUGUACUUUUUAUAACUGCGAUGGGGUGACGGAGAAGGUUAGACUAGCACGGCGACGGUUGUCCGUGUUCAAGGUUGUAGGCUGGUGUUCUAGGUAAAUCCGGAACGCUAAGGCUGAGGACUGAUAACGACCACUCUACGAGUGGGAAGUAGUCGAUACCAUGCUUCCAGGAAAAACCUCUAAGCUUCAGGUUAUAAGAAACCGUACCCUAAACCGACACAGGUGGUUAGGUCGAGUAGACCAAGGUGUUUGAGAGAACUAUGGUGAAGGAACUAGGCAAAAUAGCACCGUAACUUCGGGAGAAGGUGCGCCGCGUUUGGUGAUGAGACUUGCUCUCUAAGCUGAACGUGGUCGAAGAUACCAGGUGGCUGCGACUGUUUACUAAAAACAUAGCACUCUGCAAACUCGUAAGAGGAAGUAUAGGGUGUGACGCCUGCCCGGUGCCGGAAGGUUAAUUGAUGGGGUUAGCUUAUGCGAAGCUCUUGAUCGAAGCCCCGGUAAACGGCGGCCGUAACUAUAACGGUCCUAAGGUAGCGAAAUUCCUUGUCGGGUAAGUUCCGACCUGCACGAAUGGCGUAACGAUGGCCACACUGUCUCCACCAUAGACUCAGUGAAAUUGAAAUCGCUGUUAAGAUGCAGUGUACCCGCAGCUAGACGGAAAGACCCCGUGCACCUUUACUAUAGGUUCACACUGGACUUUGAUUUUAUUUGUGUAGGAUAGGUGGGAGACUUUGAAGCUGAGACGCUAGUCUUAGUGGAGUCGUCCUUGAAAUACCACCCUUGUAAAAUUGAGGUUCUAACCUAGGUCCAUUAUCUGGAUCGGGGGCAGUGUGUGGUGGGUAGUUUGACUGGGGCGGUCUCCUCCCAAAGAGUAACGGAGGAGCACGAAGGUGCGCUAAUCAUGGUCGGAAAUCAUGAGGUUAGUGUAAAGGCACAAGCGCGCUUGACUGAGAGUCUGACAAGACGAUCAGGUACGAAAGUAGGUCUUAGUGAUCCGGUGGUUCUGUAUGGAAGGGCCAUCGCUCAACGGAUAAAAGGUACUCCGGGGAUAACAGGCUGAUACCGCCCAAGAGUUCA